CCUACGGGUGGCAGCAGUGAGGAAUAUUGGUCAAUGGGCGCUAGCCUGAACCAGCCAAGUAGCGUGAAGGAUGACUGCCCUAUGGGUUGUAAACUUCUUUUAUAUGGGAAUAAAGUGCAGUAUGUAUACUGCUUUGCAUGUACCUUAUGAAUAAGGAUCGGCUAACUCCGUGCCAGCAGCCGCGGUAAUACGUAGGGGGCAAGCGUUAUCCGGAUUUACUGGGUGUAAAGGGGGCGCAGACGGCGAUGCAAGCCAGGGGUGAAAGCCCGGGGCCCAACCCCGGGACUGCUCUUGGAACUGCGUGGCUGGAGUGCAGUGGGGGCAGGCGGAAUUCCUGGUGUAGCGGUGAAAUGCGUAGAGAUCAGGCGGAACACCGGUGGCGAAGGCGGCCUGCUGGACUGCAACUGACGUUGAGGCCCGAAAGCGUGGGGAGCAAACAGGAUUAGAUACCCGGGUAGUC
This 460-nucleotide ribosomal RNA is filed under the name uncultured bacterium. RNAcentral describes it as "partial 16S ribosomal RNA". It matches the Rfam family "Bacterial small subunit ribosomal RNA", at positions 338 to 795 of the family's 1533-position model. The record is from RNAcentral.